CACGAUGCAUUGUGGUACCUAUAGUCUGGUGCCGCCGGCAGCGCCAUGUCCCGGCGGACAUUAGCCGUGGGUGUUAAUUAGACCAAAAAGUGUCUUCUCUAAUGCUGACACGGUUGCCCCCGAGUUACUCUGGUUUUGGGGUCUUUUUUGUCUUAAACCUGUGGUGAGAUCCUGGUUCAGAACAGCAAGAAUCGACUGAAUUGCAAAAUUCCGGUUAUCUCCAGCCCAUCCUUGCCAGUGUGCCCUCAGAAGGGAAUGUCCUGCAGUGUUUCCAGAAAGAGUUACUGAGUGUACCAUGAGUCAUCCUGCUAACCGCGUGGGUUUGCAGACUACAAAAGCAUAACACUUGAAGGCUCUGAUUUGCCUCCCGGAUAGGAACCAGGAGAGUCUCAAAGCUGAAUGAACAGAAUGGAAAAGGACAAGAAGCUUCUCAGAGACCAGCUAGUCUUCCCUGAAGAGGAUCAGCGUGGCAGCCAUUUGGUGUGCAGCAGCUGAAGGCAAGGAAGCAGAAAAAGCUGCACUGUCCUGAGUCAAGAGAGUUCACCAGUGUCCUGGCAAAAUGAACUGAAUCCCACAUUCUUGGUUCCUGAGGCAGAGGAGCAGAAGUAUU
Neopelma chrysocephalum (saffron-crested tyrant-manakin) is the source of this 610-nucleotide long non-coding RNA. RefSeq lists it as uncharacterized. The transcript is spliced from 3 exons. The record is from RefSeq and is a predicted model, not a curated record. NCBI's taxonomy places the organism in Eukaryota, Metazoa, Chordata, Aves, Passeriformes, Pipridae.